GAGUUUGAUCCUGGCUCAGAUUGAACGCUGGCGGCAGGCUUAACACAUGCAAGUCGAGCGGUAACAGGGGAGCUUGCUCCUGCUUUAGAGCGGCGGACGGGUGAGUAACGCGUGGGAAUCUACCCAGUAGCGGGGGAUAACUUGUGGAAACGCAAGCUAAUACCGCAUACGCCCUAAGGGGGAAAGUAGGGGAUCUUCGGACCUUGCACUAUUGGAUGAGCCCGCGUCGGAUUAGCUAGUUGGUGAGGUAAAGGCCUUACCAAGGCGACGAUCCAUAGCUGGUCUGAGAGGAUGUUCAGCCACACUGGGACUGAGACUCGGCCCAGCCCAGACUCCUACGGGAGGCAGCAGUGGGGAAUAUUGGACAAGGGGCGCAAGCCUGAUCCAGCCAUACCGCGUGUGUGAAGAAGGCUCUAGGGUUGUAAAGCACUUUAAGUUGGUAGGAAAGGGUGAUGGUUAAUAUCCAUUAUCUGUGACGUUACCAACAGAAUAAGCACCGGCUAACUCCGUGCCAGCAGCCGCGGUAAUACGGAGGGUGCAAGCGUUAAUCGGAAUUACUGGGCGUAAAGCGCGCGUAGGUGGUUGUGUAAGUGGAAUGUGAAAGCCCUGGGCUCAACCUGGGAACUGCAUACCAAACUGCGCGACUAGAGUACGAUAGAGGGGGGUAGAAUUUCAGGUGUAGCGGUGAAAUGCGUAGAGAUCGGAAGGAAUACCGGUGGCGAAGGCGGCCCCCUCGAUUGAUACUGACACUGAGGUGCGAAAGCGUGGGUAGCAAACAGGAUUAGGUACCCUGGUAGUCCACGCCGUAAACGAUGUCUACUAGCCGUUGGAACCCUUAGAGGUUUUAGUGGCGCAGACGCAAUAAGUAGACCGCCUGGGGAGUACGGCCGCAAGGUUAAAACUCAAAUGAAUUGACGGGGGCCCGCACAAGCGGUGGAGCAUGUGGUUUAAUUCAACGCAACGCGAAGAACCUUACCUACUCUUGACAUCCAGAGAAUUCGCUAGAGAUAGCUUAGUGCCUUCGGGAACUCUGUGACAGGUGCUGCAUGGCUGUCGUCAGCUCGUGUCGUGAGAUGUUGGGUUAAGUCCCGUAACGAGCGCAACCCUUGUCCUUAUUUGCCAGCACGUAUGGUGGGAACUCUAAGGAGAAUGCCGGUGACAAACCGGAGGAAGGAGGGGACGACGUCAAGUCAUCAUGGCCCUUACGACCUGGGCUACACACGUGCUACAAUGGCGUAUACAGAGGGCUGCCAACCAGCGAUGGUGAGCGAAUCCCACAAAGUACGUCGUAGUCCGGAUUGGAGUCUGCAACUCGACUCCAUGAAGUCGGAAUCGCUAGUAAUCGUGGAUCAGAAUGCCACGGUGAAUACGUUCCCGGGCCUUGUACACACCGCCCGUCACACCAUGGGAGUGGGCUGCACCAGAAGUAGAUAGCUUAACCCUUCGGGGAGGACGGUCACCACGGAGUGGUCAAUGACUGGGGUGAAGUCGUAACAAGGUAGCCGUA
Molecule: ribosomal RNA, 1507 nt
Filed under: uncultured prokaryote
Description: partial 16S ribosomal RNA
Rfam family: Bacterial small subunit ribosomal RNA
Source: RNAcentral